This is a non-coding RNA of Oryctolagus cuniculus (rabbit), 1225 nucleotides long. The record is from RefSeq and is a predicted model, not a curated record. Lineage: Eukaryota; Metazoa; Chordata; Mammalia; Lagomorpha; Leporidae.
CCGACUUCCUUUUCGUCUAAAACUCUUUAGACAUGAUCCUGGAACAGUAUGACAAUACAGACAGCUGUUGACAUCCCACUGACAGGAGACCACAGGGAAGUGUGUGAUCAUUAGAGUUCCUCACUUUCUUCCCAGUUUUCCCAUUCCAUAGUGCAGAGCCAUCCUCUAGGCGGAUCUUGCAGUGUGGUUCUCAGUACUGAAUUGGUUAAUACGGGGGAGAGUCACUAGAACACAAGCCCAACCCCUCUCCCUGUCUCUCUUCUGUCACUCUGCUUGCUCUUCUACUUUUCCACAAUGAUGGGACACAACAUGGGACCCUUGAUAUGGGCACCUGAUCUUUGACUCCUAGACUUGAGUAUCCUGAGCUUGGGGGUCUUCUUUCUUUGUAAUUUACCCUGUCUAAGAUGACAUUUUAAUGCCACAGAAAACUUAAUAUCUGUCCUUCAGAGAAAGUGGCUGAGUAGUCUCAAAUCCCUGUCUGAAAAAGGCAAUGUCUAUACCAACUCUGUGUUUGCACCUUCAUGCCCAUGACCUUUCUCGCCAAAACCCAGUCCCUAGGAACUCUUCACCUCUCUCUAGACCCUGCAGGGACAGCAUACACAGUUCCCUCUCCCAUUGGUGAGGUUCAUCCUUCGCCAGGCUUGCCCCUUCCAACCCAUGAUUCUGCCUGAGGACCAUCAGGCAGGCCCCUUCUCUCUGUCUUCAGAUGUCUGCCCCACUGAACAAUGGCGCUGUCCCUCCUCCCCAUUUCCCUGUAACUCCCAAACAGCAGGGUUCAUGUGUUUAUCCACCCCACCCUGAAAUCCCAGUUUCUUCCAAUGUGACAAAAAGAUAUCUGGGUUCAGACUGUUCUUACAGUCUUGGUCUCAGAUGGCGACCUCUACAGACAGAAGAGGCUGGCUUGAAAGUGCCUUUUUGUGUGAUGUCUGUGUUGUGUUUGGUCUUAAUUUUUCCUGACUGAUGAGAGUAAUGUGAGUUUCUUUCCAAUCAUCAUUCUCUGGAUAAGGUGCAAACAAACUUGACAUUGGAAAUAAUGUGUUUCUCUAAAUUUAGGAAAGAUUUUGAAACAACAAACUUAACAGAAGCAUCAAAAGUAGAAACUGAAUAAUGUGGAUGACCAACUAUCUUUAUAAAUCUGUAGACAGCCUGGAAUGGGGAAAUGACAGUCCAUGAGGAGAGUGAUUAAGCAGAAGGGAGUUGAAGCAUCCUGGAUGCAAGAAUGCAG